UGGGGAAUCUUGCGCAAUGGGCGAAAGCCUGACGCAGCCAUGCCGCGUGAAUGAUGAAGGUCUUAGGAUUGUAAAAUUCUUUUAGCAGGGACGAUAAUGACGGUACCUGCAGAAAAAGCCCCGGCUAACUUCGUGCCAGCAGCCGCGGUAAUACGAAGGGGGCUAGCGUUGCUCGGAAUUACUGGGCGUAAAGGGAGCGUAGGCGGGUUAUCAAGUUGGAGGUGAAAGCCCAGGGCUCAACCUUGGAAUUGCCUUCAAAACUGAUAACCUAGAGGAUGAUAGAGGUAAGUGGAACUCCGAGUGUAGAGGUGAAAUUCGUAGAUAUUCGGAAGAACACCAGUGGCGAAGGCGACUUACUGGAUCAUUACUGACGCUGAGGCUCGAAAGCGUGGGGAGCAAACA
Molecule: ribosomal RNA, 402 nt
Filed under: uncultured Burkholderia sp.
Lineage: Bacteria; Pseudomonadati; Pseudomonadota; Betaproteobacteria; Burkholderiales; Burkholderiaceae
Also listed under: 1 other name
Description: partial 16S ribosomal RNA
Rfam family: Bacterial small subunit ribosomal RNA
Source: RNAcentral